CUCCUUUCUUCUGCACAUUUGCUGCUCAUGCUGUGUCAAACCCAAUUAUCAUCAUUAUCUCAGUUCUGUCACACUGUAUAAAUACAUGUCUAAAUAAACCAAACAGCAUGACAAUUUUUGUCAAGGGAAACUACAAGGAAGGAUUUCAUUAGGGCUUUGCAGAGAAUGCCUUGCAGAAACCAGAAGCAAGCUAAGACUUAAGAGUCCAGGUCUUAGUACAGAUUGAAGUAGAGCUAUCUCCUCAAGCAGCACCUCCUAGUAGCAUUGGGUUCUCAGAUGGGCUGGAGGCAGGAUGACAGUGAUCUCACAUCCCAAAAGUAGGAUUCCUGAAUAUGUCAGAGUGAAAGCUCCAACAGAAAAAAAUCAGGCAAAUGGUAUCUUACAGUGACUCCUAAGCCCCAGAAACCCAGGCUUUCAAAGUCUCAGUCUAAAAUCAGGAUAUUAACCCCACAGACAUUGCACACAAAAGAGCUUGGAUGAAGAAACAUGAAGCAUUACUUAAAUGAGCUGCGGGUGAGGGGAUUACUGUUUGUAUGUAAAAGGAAACACAGGAGAGAUAUUUUAACUUACACCUUCCAGCUCCUCACUGUGGCUUGGAUCCAAUGCCUGUAAAAGUCAGUGGAAAGACUCUCAUUGACUUCAUGAGAACUGGAUCAGGUCCCACAUGAGUUACACCUACUUAGGCUCCCUGCCAUAGGUGGAGGUAGUCCUGAAAGAGAGCGCAAGUGAAAGGAGUUUAAUUUACAUGACCUUACAGUUCACUCUCCAUCUACAGCUGCUUUUUUUACUAAAGAGGAAACAUCUCCAGCACUGCAGAAGAGGAAGGCACAGUGUGGUUCAUACAGGUGUUUUUUCUUGUUGCUUGCAAGUUAUCACACUGGCUGCUCCAACUGGCUUCAAGGGGAAACUGGGAUCCAGAUAUUCUGAAAGUCAGGAGCGAAGGAUUUCUACUGCAGCAGCCAAAGGAACACAGGCAGCCAAAAUAAGAGAUCACAUGAAGGAGAUGGUCUAAACAUGCCAGCUGCAAAGUGCAGAGACUGUAAUGUGUAAUACCUGCUUUAAAUUAGAUAACGAAUUACCUAAUGCAGAGUGAAAUGAGAGAGUGGAAUUAAAAAACAUUAAAAAAUUAAAAACCUAUUGGUUGCCCCUGGCAGGAUUUAAUUUUGGUUCUGCUCUCUUGGCUAUUCACUGAGAGACUUACUAAUACCUCAUGGAAAACUUUACCACUCUUUCCAUGUUGAAGCACUUAGAGGAAAUGUGUUAUAUCAUGUCAUUUUGUUAUGUUUCCUCUUUCCCCAC
RNAcentral lists this long non-coding RNA (1299 nucleotides) under Anas platyrhynchos platyrhynchos (common mallard). RNAcentral describes it as "lncRNA (ENSAPLG00000021691.1)". Lineage: Eukaryota; Metazoa; Chordata; Aves; Anseriformes; Anatidae. The record is from RNAcentral.